UUACGGCCACAUUACAUUGAAACACUAGUUCCCGUUCGAUCACUGAAGUUAAGCAAUAUCGAGUCUGCGCAGUACCUAGAUAGGUGACUGGGAAUAUACGUAAGCUGUAA
This is a non-coding RNA of Acanthosepion pharaonis, 110 nucleotides long. NCBI's taxonomy places the organism in Eukaryota, Metazoa, Mollusca, Cephalopoda, Sepiida, Sepiidae. The record is from the annotation of a GenBank genome assembly.